GUUAUAUGGUCAAGCGAAUAAGCGCACACGGUGGAUGCCUAGGCGGUCAGAGGCGAUGAAGGACGUGGUAGCCUGCGAAAAGUGUCGGGGAGCUGGCAACAAGCUUUGAUCCGGCAAUAUCCGAAUGGGGAAACCCACUGCUUCGGCAGUAUCCUGCAGUGAAUUCAUAACUGCUGGAAGCGAACCCGGUGAACUGAAAUAUCUAAGUAACCGGAGGAAAAGAAAUCAACCGAGAUUCCCUAAGUAGUGACGAGCGAACGGGGAACAGCCCUUAAGCUGGAAUGGUUUUAGAAAAACAAUCUGGAAAGAUUGGCCAUAGAAGGUGAUAGCCCUGUAUUUGAAAGGGCCACUCCAGUGAAGACGAGUAGGGCGGGGCACGUGAAACCCUGUCUGAAUAUGGGGGGACCAUCCUCCAAGGCUAAAUACUCCUGACCGACCGAUAGUGAACCAGUACCGUGAGGGAAAGGCGAAAAGAACCCCGGAGAGGGGAGUGAAAUAGAUCCUGAAACCGUGUGCGUACAAGCAGUAGGAGCUCGCAAGAGUGACUGCGUACCUUUUGUAUAAUGGGUCAGCGACUUACUGUUCGUGGCAAGCUUAACCGUAUAGGGGAGGCGAAGGGAAACCGAGUCUGAUAAGGGCGCAUAGUCGCGGGCAGUAGACCCGAAACCGGGUGAUCUAGUCAUGGCCAGGGUGAAGGUGCCGUAACAGGUACUGGAGGCCCGAACCCACGUCUGUUGCAAAAGACGGGGAUGAGCUGUGAUUAGGAGUGAAAAGCUAAUCGAACCCGGAGAUAGCUGGUUCUCCUCGAAAGCUAUUUAGGUAGCGCCUCGGACGAAUACUACUGGGGGUAGAGCACUGUUAUGGCUAGGGGGUCAUCGCGACUUACCAAACCAUUGCAAACUCCGAAUACCAGUACGUACUAUCCGGGAGACACACGGCGGGUGCUAACGUCCGUCGUGAAAAGGGAAACAACCCAGACCCACAGCUAAGGUCCCAAAUUCAUUGCUAAGUGGAAAACGAUGUGGAAAGGCACAGACAGCCAGGAGGUUGGCUUAGAAGCAGCCACCCUUUAAAGAAAGCGUAAUAGCUCACUGGUCGAGUCGGUCUGCGCGGAAGAUUUAACGGGGCUAAGCAGUGAACCGAAGCUUGGGGUGCAUAAAACUUGUUUUAUGCGCGGUAGAGGAGCGUUCCGUAAGCCUGUGAAGGUAGAUUGAGAAGUCUGCUGGAGGUAUCGGAAGUGCGAAUGCUGACAUGAGUAACGAUAAUGCGGGUGAAAAGCCCGCACGCCGAAAGCCCAAGGUUUCCUUGCGCAACGUUAAUCGACGCAGGGUUAGUCGGUCCCUAAGGCGAGGGCGAAAGCCGUAGUCGAUGGGAAGCAGGUUAAUAUUCCUGCACCUCGCGUGAGUGCGAUGGAGGGACGGAGAAGGUUAGGUGUACCGGGCGUUGGUUGUCCCGGGGAAAGGCGGUAGGUUUGAAUCUUUGGCAAAUCCGGGAUUCUUUAAGACCGAGCACCGAGACGAGCCUUUAUGGCAAAGUCACUGAUACCACGCUUCCAGGAAAAGCUUCUAAGCUUCAGCUCACGAAGACCGUACCGUAAACCGACACAGGUGGGUAGGAUGAGAAUUCUCAGGCGCUUGAGAGAACUCGGGUGAAGGAACUAGGCAACAUGGCACCGUAACUUCGGGAGAAGGUGCACCCUUUUUGGUGGCUCAUGCGAGCUAUAGCUGAAGAGGGUCGCAGAAACCAGGCCGCUGCGACUGUUUAUCAAAAACACAGCACUCUGCAAACACGAAAGUGGACGUAUAGGGUGUGACGCCUGCCCGGUGCUGGAAGGUUAAUUGAUGGGGUCAGCCGCAAGGCGAAGCUCUUGAUCGAAGCCCCAGUAAACGGCGGCCGUAACUAUAACGGUCCUAAGGUAGCGAAAUUCCUUGUCGGGUAAGUUCCGACCUGCACGAAUGGCGUAACGACAGCGGCGCUGUCUCCACCCGAGACUCAGUGAAAUUGAAAUCGCUGUGAAGAUGCAGCGUUCCCGUGGCAAGACGGAAAGACCCCGUGAACCUUUACUAUAGCUUUACACUGAACGUUGAGUUCGUCUGUGUAGGAUAGGUGGGAGGCUAUGAAACUGUGGCGCUAGCUGCAGUGGAGCCAUCCUUGAAAUACCACCCUGUCGUGCUUGACGUUCUAACCUAGAUCCGUUAUCCGGAUCAGGGACCGUGUAUGGUGGGUAGUUUGACUGGGGCGGUCUCCUCCUAAAGAGUAACGGAGGAGCACGAAGGUACGCUCAGCGCGGUCGGACAUCGCGCACUGUGUGCAAAGGCAUAAGCGUGCUUGACUGCAAGAUCGACGGAUCAAGCAGGUACGAAAGUAGGUCUUAGUGAUCCGGUGGUUCUGUAUGGAAGGGCCAUCGCUCAACGGAUAAAAGGUACUCCGGGGAUAACAGGCUGAUACCGCCCAAGAGUUCAUAUCGACGGCGGUGUUUGGCACCUCGAUGUCGGCUCAUCACAUCCUGGGGCUGUAGUCGGUCCCAAGGGUAUGGCUGUUCGCCAUUUAAAGUGGUACGCGAGCUGGGUUCAGAACGUCGUGAGACAGUUCGGUCCCUAUCUGCCAUGGGCGUUGGAAGUUUGAGAGGGGCUGCUCCUAGUACGAGAGGACCGGAGUGGACGAACCUCUGGUGUUCCGGUUGUCACGCCAGUGGCAUUGCCGGGUAGCUAUGUUCGGAAGCGAUAACCGCUGAAAGCAUCUAAGCGGGAAGCGCGCCUCAAGAUGAGACUUCCCGGGGCACAAGCCCCCUAAAGGAACCAUGUAGACUACGUGGUUGAUAGGUCAGGUGUGUAAGUACAGCAAUGUAUUGAGCUAACUGAUACUAAUGAUCCGUGCGGCUUGACCAUAUAACCU
Molecule: ribosomal RNA, 2895 nt
Filed under: Xanthomonas fragariae
Lineage: Bacteria; Pseudomonadati; Pseudomonadota; Gammaproteobacteria; Lysobacterales; Lysobacteraceae
Description: bacterial LSU rRNA
Rfam family: Bacterial large subunit ribosomal RNA
Source: RNAcentral